AAUCUGGAGACAGGUGCUGCAUGGCUGUCGUCAGCUCGUGUCGUGAGAUGUUGGGUUAAGUCCCGCAACGAGCGCAACCCUUGCCUUUAGUUGCCAGCAGUUCGGCUGGGCACUCUAAAGGGGAACUGCCGGUGUUAAACCGGAGGAAGGUGGGGAUGACGUCAAGUCCUCAUGGCCUUUAUGACCAGGGCUACACACGUACUACAAUGGCCGAUACAAAGGGCAGCGACACUGCGAGGUGAAGCCAAUCCCGUAAAAUCGGUCUCAGUCCGGAUUGGAGUCUGCAACUCGACUCCAUGAAGUUGGAAUCGCUAGUAAUCGUGGAUCAGCAUGCCACGGUGAAUACGUUCCCGGGCCUU
RNAcentral lists this ribosomal RNA (359 nucleotides) under uncultured Desulfobulbus sp. RNAcentral describes it as "bacterial SSU rRNA". It matches the Rfam family "Bacterial small subunit ribosomal RNA", at positions 1025 to 1382 of the family's 1533-position model. Lineage: Bacteria; Pseudomonadati; Thermodesulfobacteriota; Desulfobulbia; Desulfobulbales; Desulfobulbaceae. The record is from RNAcentral.